UACGGAGGGGGCUAGCGUUGUUCGGAAUUACUGGGCGUAAAGGGCUCGUAGGCGGCCAACUAAGUCGGAUGUGAAAUCCCCAGGCUUAACCUGGGAACUGCAUCCGAUACUGGAUGGCUUGAAUCCGGGAGAGGGAUGCAGAAUUCCAGGUGUAGCGGUGAAAUGCGUAGAUAUCUGGAGGAAUACCGGUGGCGAAGGCGGCAUCCUGGACCGGCAUUGACGCUGAGGGAGCGAAAGCUAGGGGAGCAAACGGG
This 254-nucleotide ribosomal RNA is filed under the name uncultured bacterium. Its description in RNAcentral is "partial 16S ribosomal RNA". It matches the Rfam family "Bacterial small subunit ribosomal RNA", at positions 524 to 776 of the family's 1533-position model. The record is from RNAcentral.